UACGGGGGGAGCAAGCGUUGUUCGGAUUUACUGGGCGUAAAGGGCGCGUAGGCGGCCACCGCAAGUCGACUGUGAAAUCUCCGGGCUUAACCCGGAAAGGUCAGCUGAUACUGCGGGGCUAGAGUGCAGAAGGGGCAACUGGAAUUCUCGGUGUAGCGGUGAAAUGCGUAGAUAUCGAGAGGAACACCUGCGGCGAAGGCGGGUUGCUGGGCUGACACUGACGCUGAUGCGCGAAAGCUAGGGGAGCGAACGGG
This 254-nucleotide ribosomal RNA is filed under the name uncultured bacterium. RNAcentral's name for it is "partial 16S ribosomal RNA". It matches the Rfam family "Bacterial small subunit ribosomal RNA", at positions 524 to 776 of the family's 1533-position model. The record is from RNAcentral.